Non-coding RNA from Callorhinus ursinus (northern fur seal), 643 nucleotides. The record is from RefSeq and is a predicted model, not a curated record. Lineage: Eukaryota; Metazoa; Chordata; Mammalia; Carnivora; Otariidae.
GCCGGUGCCGCUGUCGUCUCUCUCCAGCCGUGGUCAUGAUCAUCUACCGGGACCUCAUCAGCCACGAUGAGAUGUUCUCCGACAUCUACAAGAUCCGGGAGAUGGCCGACAGGCUGUGCCUGGAGGUGGAGGGGAAGGAAACCAGCUUCACAAAAGAAGCCUACAAGAAGUACAUCAAAGAUUACAUGAAAUCAAUCAAAGGCAAACUUGAAGAACAGAGGCCAGAAAGAGUAAAGCCUUCUAUGACAGGGGCUGCAGAACAAAUCAAGCACAUCCUUGCUAAUUUCAAAAACUACCAGUUCUUUAUUGGUGAAAACAUGAAUCCAGAUGGCAUGGUUGCUCUGCUGGACUACCGUGAGGAUGGUGUGACCCCAUAUAUGAUUUUCUUUAAGGAUGGUUUAGAAAUGGAGAGAUGUUAACGAAUUGGGCCAUGACUUUGGAUGUGUCACCUGUUGCCGUAACGGGCUGCUCCUCUUCAUCCACACGACACCAGGACUUAGACAGAUGGGACUGAUGGCAUCUUGAGCUCUUCAUUUGUUUUGACCCUGAUUUAUUUGGAGCGGAGGCAUUGUUUUUAAGAAAAAAACAUGUCAUGUAGGUUGUCUAAAAAUAAAAUGCAUUUAAACUCAAAAAAAAAAAAAAA